GGAAGAAAAGACACGGAGGAGGAAUAGAUGCGGAAACCAAAAAAAAGUAGCAGAUAAGCAAUUAUUUCACUAUUUGUUUCUCUCAAAUACCAUCUCUUAAUUCAGCGAAACCACAGCCAAGGGAACGGGCUUGGCAGAAUCAGCGGGGAAAGAAGACCCUGUUGUUUCUUCCAAG
Xiphophorus hellerii (green swordtail) is the source of this 175-nucleotide long non-coding RNA. RefSeq lists it as uncharacterized. The record is from RefSeq and is a predicted model, not a curated record. The transcript is spliced from 3 exons. Lineage: Eukaryota; Metazoa; Chordata; Actinopteri; Cyprinodontiformes; Poeciliidae.